CUUAAAGGAAUUGACGGGGCCGCACAAGCGGUGGAGCAUGUGGUUUAAUUCGAUGCAACGCGAAGAACCUUACCAGGGCUUGACAUCCCCUGACCGCGUAUGAAAGUACGUUUUCACCCUCGGGUGACAGGGAGACAGGUGGUGCAUGGUUGUCGUCAGCUCGUGUCGUGAGAUGUUGGGUUAAGUCCCGCAACGAGCGCAACCCCUACGUUUAGUUGCUAACGCGUGAAGGCGAGCACUCUAGACGAACUGCCGUUGACAAAACGGAGGAAGGUGGGAUGACGUCAAAUCAUCAUGCCCCUUAUGUUCUGGGCUACACACGUGCUACAAUGGCCGGUACAGACGGACGCAAAGCCGCGAGGUGGAGCAAAUCCUAAAAAGCCGGUCUCAGUUCGGAUUGCAGGCUGCAAUUCGCCUGCAUGAAGUCGGAAUCGCUAGUAAUCGCAGGUCAGCAUACUGCGGUCGAAUACGUUCCCGGGCCUU
Molecule: ribosomal RNA, 483 nt
Filed under: uncultured Bacillus sp.
Lineage: Bacteria; Bacillati; Bacillota; Bacilli; Caryophanales; Bacillaceae
Description: bacterial SSU rRNA
Rfam family: Bacterial small subunit ribosomal RNA
Source: RNAcentral